GACGAACGCUGGCGGCGUGCUUAACACAUGCGAGUCGAACGGAAAGGCCCUGCUUUUGUGGGGUGCUCGAGUGGCGAACGGGUGAGUAAGACGUGAGUAACCUGCCCUUGACUUUGGGAUAACUUCAGGAAACUGGGGCUAAUACCGGAUAGGAGCUCCUGCUGCAUGGAGGGGGUUGGAAAGUUUCGGCGGUUGGGGAUGGACUCGCGGCUUAUCAGCUUGUUGGUGGGGUGGUGGCUUACCAAGGCUUGGACGGGUAGCCGGCCUGGGAGGGUGAACGGCCACAUUGGGACUGCGGUACGGCCCAGACUCCUACGGUAGGCAGCAGGGGGGAAUAUUGCACAAUGGGCGGAAGCCUGAUGCAGCAACGCCGCGUGCGUGAUGACGGCCUUCGGGUUGUAAACCGCUUUCGCCUGUGACGAAGCGUGAGUGACGGUAAUGGGUAAAGAAGCACCGGCUAACUACGUG
RNAcentral lists this ribosomal RNA (468 nucleotides) under uncultured bacterium. RNAcentral describes it as "partial 16S ribosomal RNA". It matches the Rfam family "Bacterial small subunit ribosomal RNA", at positions 28 to 507 of the family's 1533-position model. The record is from RNAcentral.